This 121-nucleotide ribosomal RNA is filed under the name Hydrocarboniphaga effusa. Lineage: Bacteria; Pseudomonadati; Pseudomonadota; Gammaproteobacteria; Nevskiales; Nevskiaceae. The record is from RNAcentral.
UGCCUGGCGGCAUUAGCGAGUUGGAACCACCCGUUUCCAUCCCGAACACGGAAGUGAAACGACUCAGCGCCGAUGAUAGUGUGGCAAGACCAUGCGAGAGUAGGUCACUGCCAGGCUCUUA